GGAUUACCUCUGUGGUGGCUGCAUUCUCAGGCUCCAUGGGUUGGCAAGUCCUAGGCAUUAUGUAAAGGCCGACAGCCAGGUGUGGGCCAGCUCCAACUGGGGCGACUUGUGGAGGGUGGUUCCUGGGACAACGCCCAUGCCGUGAUCAGGAACGGGGUCAGCAGGAGUCAGGUGGGGAAGUGCCAGGUGUCCACUGCCACGACCAACACGUUACUCACACUCACGGCACAAGAAUGGCCUCUGUACCCUGUGUGUAGGCAUAUCCAGGCACAGUCGCUUGUAUGUCUGAGACCUCAAGCUGGAGAGUGCUGAUGGCCAACAUGCUGGUCACCUCUCCACAGUCCUUCCUCCUCCUGGACAACACCCCUGCUCUCUCUGGAUGGUCCUGAGCUAAGCCCGGAAGAACUUUCCAGGCCCAGGUUCCCCAUGCGGGGCUGCCUGAGCACCCCCACCCUAUGGCCAGCCCUGCUGCCCUGGCUUCCACCUCCAGAUCCUUCCUGCCAUGUCCCCCUCCAAUCAGAGCCGACCCACACUGUGUCCCUCCCAGUGGCUCUACUGCCUACUGAACACGUGCACCAUCACCGCCGUGGGGCCCACAGAGUCAAGGCUAUAAAGAGGGACUGAGAACACCGUGACGCCCUGGCCUGCGCACCCUCCUCUGCUCCAUCUGGGUCUGUCCGGAUGGCAGAGGCUCAGAGGGUCUGCCCCUACCAGAUGGUGGAGGCUCAGAAUGUCUGAGCCAGAAAAAGCAUGAAAGAAAACUUAGCCUUCCUCCUCCCAGUUAACAGAACAUCGGGAGGGGUGAGGAGAGAAGGCCCAGGAGGAGGGGCGUCCUUCCCAGGCAGCUGUCACAGGCCCCUAGCUGAGCUCUCAUGGCAGACACAGCCCAGGACACUCAGACCCAGAGUGACUACGAGCCCCGGCAAGACGUGGAGGAGCAGAGUUACAACCCGUCAAGAGCCUGAUUUCAGGUUGAAACCAGGCUUCACCAUGCAGCAGCUGUGUGGCCUCAGGGAAGUUACUGAACCCCUCUGAGCCUCCCAUGGAAAAUAAGGAUGAUGGUUCCCCUCACAGGGUUGUCGGGAGGAUUCAGUGUCCUCCUUCAGGUCUUGACUCGGAUGUUGCCUCUGAGUGAGGGCGUCUUUGGCCACCCCAUUUAAAGUGCCAACCCUGACACUUCCUCCCUCCUUUCCCCUCUGUCCUCUUCCUGGCUCUUAUCACCAUCAGACAAACCAAGUUUUCACUUCUUGAUCAUUGUCCAGCCCCUGCUGUGAAAUGUGAAGUCCUAAGACACAGGCUUUUUUUGUUUGUUACGUUCAUUGCUUUAGAAGGAAUUAAGGACAAGCUACCCCAAAUGACGUCACUUUGGUAUAUGGAUUAUUUUGAGCUGCAGGCACUGGAGAAACAGCAGGUGCAGGCAGGGCCUUCGGACCUCCCCUUUUCUAACCAAGAACAGGCCAUGACAUUUCCCACGAGAUACACACUCCCUUUGUACCAGGAAGAGAACAUCCUUAUCACCAAACACUGGGAGUGGAUGCCGAGGUGCAUCUGCACAAACACACUUAAUAAAAUAACCCUUUGCUUCCACCAGUUUUACUCGUUUCUCCCCCACGAAUCUUCCAGUUCCUCCCCCACGAUUUACUGCCCCCAGUCCAAACCUUUUUGUCUCAUCAUUUCUUCACA
RNAcentral lists this long non-coding RNA (1683 nucleotides) under Homo sapiens (human). Its description in RNAcentral is "HSALNT0268169". The record is from RNAcentral. Lineage: Eukaryota; Metazoa; Chordata; Mammalia; Primates; Hominidae.